UUUUUGUAUUCAAUUCGAUUGUGUCAAAAAUUUAACCUCGGUAAAAUAUUUAACACAAUUCACACACGAUCUAUAAAUCUGUCGUAUUUUUUUAAUUAAAUCCUUUCCCUCCCCCUACAUUUAUGUAUGCAUUUACACAUAUAUUCCAAAAAGUCUCCGAGCAGUUGCAAUUUUUUAAAUUUUGUUCUUAAAAAUAUCGAAUUUAUGCUAUAGAAACCUUUUGUACCAGGAAUAAAAGAGAGUAAGCCAACAAAUAAUUUUUCAACAAAAUUUAUACCAUUUUAUUUAAAAACUUUAAAUAACAAAAAUUCAUUACACGUAAACAAAAAAUAAGGAACAAAAAAGUAUCCGUACAGUUCAUUUUUUGAUUAAUUUUCGUUGAAAAAAACUUAACAAAAAUCACUUUACUUAAGGAAAAAUAAACUUAUAACUAGUAGGACCUCCCUGCAAUCUGUGUCUCAUCGAAUGAACAAGCUUGGCGGUCGUACCUAUCUGGAGAAAUUUUGUUCCAUUCGUCAAGUAGGAUCGUUUUGGGGUCAUUCUAAAUCGCUAUUGGGUGCUGACGAACCUUUUUUUCUACGUGAUUCCAUAGGUGCUCAAAACUGAAAGUUUGCACAUUGCAUCUGCUUUUUUGGUUCUUAGAGUAUUUCGAGAAACAAGGCAUUGUUCAACUCAACCAAAAAUACUCGAAGAUUGAGUUCAAGAAUGCAACCAAUGAUGACACAUCUAAAAGCUUCGUUAAAUUUAUAAUGUCAAACAAAAUAUUUCCACUAGAAAAUGAAAUGUCAUUCUUCUUCCAUCUAUCAACUUCAAUCGUCAACUCUAUUAAAUAUUGUUCAACGAAUGCUUUUAAUUUUUGUUCGAGAUACCUAUAAGAUUCGUAAAUUAAACCAAAGCUUUUCAAUCGUCAGGGUCCUACUCUAUCAAAAUGUCAAAGGAAAAGCAUAAAAGUCCUAUGUGAAGAACUUGGAAGCCAAUUCGAGCAUGAUUACAAGCCACGACACGAACUAACCAGAUGUUAAAUACACCUAUGUACCUACGUUAAAUAAAAUUAUUUGGCGAUUAA
Molecule: long non-coding RNA, 1066 nt
Organism: Episyrphus balteatus (marmalade hoverfly)
Lineage: Eukaryota; Metazoa; Arthropoda; Insecta; Diptera; Syrphidae
Exons: 2
Source: RefSeq, a predicted model, not a curated record